GUGAAGGUGAACGCCUUGGUUGAACCGUGUUACAAUGCUGUCCUCUAGGUCCUUGAAAUUCCUCUGACGUCAACAGGAAUGUGAGGGCUGGGGAAGCCCUGAACCUCUGAUUUGAACCUCGGUGAAGCGUAAACAGCCAAGAUGCAGUUUGCAAAUACAAGAUUACGGGGAAUCAGAUAGACAGAAAGACAUCAGAUUCCAGAAAGACAUCCAAUGGGCAGUCCAAGAUUUAUGCCAAUUAAAGAAGGCGCAGCACAGCUGAAGGUCAACAGAGCUAGCGCACAUGAUUUGAAAAAAAUUUAUCAUUCUUAUGCAUCCUAUUGAGUAUCCAGAAAUGAGCUGCCAGUUUGCAAGAAAUGGCUGCUGCUCUGAGUGAAACGAUGGCUAAGCUUUGUAGGUGGCUGGGUGGGGCCACAGGUCUCCUUGGAAACUGAUACUUUCAGGAUUCACUUGAACUCGAGCCAUCUUGUCAACCACAGUUUCUUGGGAAGCAAUAUUUUCUGUCCCUGUGACCUUGGCAUUUUGCUUCCUGGUAGAAAAUGAAUACUGGUUCUUUCCACAAGAUUAGAGAACCAACUCUUUAUUUCAGGAAUGCAACCUUUAUUGUCUACAGCCUUAAGUAACUGACAAGACCAAAAUGGUGGCCAUCACCCAAACACCUGCACCAACCAAACCAGCAUGGAGUUACAAUAGCGAAGAGAAGUCUCUUUUGUUUUUCCUCUCAAUUUUUUGUACUCCGGAAUGAGUGCUCGUAAUAAGACAACAUUAAAUGUGUAAUAUUUGGCAUUAAAGGGCUAAACAUUAUAUAAAUUAGUGUAAAAAAUUUGUUCAAUCUAUGUGUAC
RNAcentral lists this long non-coding RNA (843 nucleotides) under Homo sapiens (human). RNAcentral's name for it is "HSALNT0227259". The record is from RNAcentral. Lineage: Eukaryota; Metazoa; Chordata; Mammalia; Primates; Hominidae.